RNAcentral lists this ribosomal RNA (497 nucleotides) under uncultured bacterium. RNAcentral describes it as "partial 16S ribosomal RNA". It matches the Rfam family "Bacterial small subunit ribosomal RNA", at positions 28 to 507 of the family's 1533-position model. The record is from RNAcentral.
GAUGAACGCUGGCGGCGUGCCUAAUACAUGCAAGUCGAGCGAACAGACGAGGAGCUUGCUCCUCUGACGUUAGCGGCGGACGGGUGAGUAACACGUGGAUAACCUACCUAUAAGACUGGGAUAACUUCGGGAAACCGGAGCUAAUACCGGAUAAUAUAUUGAACCGCAUGGUUCAAUAGUGAAAGACGGUUUUGCUGUCACUUAUAGAUGGAUCCGCGCCGCAUUAGCUAGUUGGUAAGGUAACGGCUUACCAAGGCAACGAUGCGUAGCCGACCUGAGAGGGUGAUCCGCCACACUGGCACUGAGACACGGUCCAGACUCCUACGGGAGGCAGCAGUACGGACUCUUCCGCAAUGGGCGAAAGCCUGACGGAGCAACGCCGCGUGAGUGAUGAAGGUCUUCGGAUCGUAAAACUCUGUUAUUAGGGAAGAACAAAUGUGUAAGUAACUAUGCACGUCUUGACGGUACCUAAUCAGAAAGCCACGGCUAACUACGUG